RNAcentral lists this ribosomal RNA (511 nucleotides) under uncultured archaeon. Its description in RNAcentral is "bacterial SSU rRNA". It matches the Rfam family "Archaeal small subunit ribosomal RNA", at positions 346 to 859 of the family's 1478-position model. The record is from RNAcentral.
ACCUCUGCAAUAGGCGAAAGCCUGACAGGGUUACUCUGAGUGAUGCCCGCUAAGGGUAUCUUUUGGCACCUCUAAAAAUGGUGCAGAAUAAGGGGUGGGCAAGUCUGGUGUCAGCCGCCGCGGUAAUACCAGCACCCCGAGUUGUCGGGACGAUUAUUGGGCCUAAAGCAUCCGUAGCCUGUUCUACAAGUCCUCCGUUAAAUCCACCUGCUCAACAGAUGGGCUGCGGGGGAUACUAUAGGGCUAGGAAGCGGGAGAGGCAAACGGUACUCAGUGGGUAGGGGUAAAAUCCAUUGAUCUACUGAAGACCACCAGUGGCGAAGGCGGUUUGCCAGAACGCGCUCGACGGUGAGGGAUGAAAGCUGGGGGAGCAAACCGGAUUAGAUACCCGGGUAGUCCCAGCUGUAAACGAUGCAGACUCGGUGAUGGGUUGGCUUCGCGCCAACCCAGUGCCGCAGGGAAGCCGUUAGGUCUGCCGCCUGGGGAGUACGGUCGCAAGACUGAAACUUAA